RNAcentral lists this ribosomal RNA (253 nucleotides) under uncultured bacterium. Its description in RNAcentral is "partial 16S ribosomal RNA". It matches the Rfam family "Bacterial small subunit ribosomal RNA", at positions 524 to 776 of the family's 1533-position model. The record is from RNAcentral.
CACAGAGGUCUCAAGCGUUGUUCGGAUUCAUUGGGCGUAAAGGGUGCGUAGGCGGCGGAGCAAGUCUGAUGUGAAAUCCCGGGGCUCAACCCCGGAACUGCACUGGAUACUGCUCUGCUAGAGAUCUGGAGAGGAGACUGGAAUUUACGGUGUAGCAGUGAAAUGCGUAGAGAUCGUAAGGAAGACCAGUGGCGAAGGCGAGUUCCUGGACAGUUACUGACGCUGAGGCACGAAGGCCAGGGGAGCAAACGGG